UCUGCAGCAACAACAAAAAAGGUAACUGCUGUCAGUACUUUAGUCAUCAUCUCCUCCUCUGAUACCUCCUAGGAAGUUUUGCAUUCACUUGAGACCCAGAUUUUUCUAGUCCUUUAAGAAGAUAGUGAGAGGCUUAUCCAAAUGGUUCUUCUCUACUUGUAAUUAAGUGAUUUUCCUGAAAGGAUUGUUUAAGCGCCUGUUUUGUCCUGUUCUUUCUGUAACACUGUUCUGAGUGACUUGUUUCCUCUUCAACUGACACACGUCUUGCAGCAGCACAGACUGUUUAUUAGAGACUGCCUGAAGAAUUCCACCAUAACCCAAUGAAACUUCAGAUACCUGUGAUCAAAAAUAGAGUUUUGACAGCACGGCUAUAGAAUUUUCUUAGUAAAUAACUAUGGAAGCGUGAGAAAAAAUGAGAUUAGAUCCAUGAAAGACACGAAAGUUGAACCUGGAGAGCGCGGUAAGGUAUAUCUCAAGUAUGGAAGAUGAGAAUCAUCAAGAUGGAAAGUUAUAAAAUUCUAAAGGAAAAAAGAUGGAAGAGAAAAUGGUAACGUUAAGGAUCAGCCUCUUCUGUGCAGCACUGGAGCCUGCCCUUCUCUGCCUUGCUCGCGACUCCUCGCCAGCAAAACCUCAUCGGAUAUCUUGUCAGAAGUGUCUCAUUGCAGAUACGCAAGGUUUCCCAGCAGACACACGUCAGUGUCCUACCGUGUGUCUUCCUGAUCCUCUCCACCAGAAAAUGAGCUUCCUCCUGGAUUCGCUCCUCAAUGCCCUUCUUCCCCAUUCCAAAAUCACGCAGGGUGGUGAGGGCAAAUCGUCGCAGUUGCCUCCAGGUCUCCCCAUUGCUGGUCACAAUGCCUGUCACAAGAAGGAACAACAAAGAUUCCAUGAGUAAGUAAAUUUUCUGCCCCCCAACCUCGUUCUGGAAUAGAUAUCUACCACAAUUGGGAUAUGCCCCAAACCCUAAUCUUCCUGCAGUUAUGGAGGUGACAAAUUGAUCAAUCUGAUCAAGGCACCACCGUUUAUUUCCAGAAAAAGAGAAGUGACAAUGGGCUGUCAAUAGAAAGGGACCACUGGUGCUAAAGUCAACUUGGCCACGAGCAGGUGGCUAAGACAAAUUCCCAGAUGUGCAGUGAUGCACCUUCACACAUCGUAUCAUUACUGAAAAUACCACGGGACAAGCAUUUACUUGAAUAAAUGCUCUGCUGGGGACUGUCAUGGUGAAUGAGCCCAGGGCCUAAUCUUGAGUAGGACCCUUAACUAGCACAGCCUGUAUUUGCUUGUCAGUGUUGUGUUCAGUUGAUGGCUCCUGAGCUGUAGGGACUUUGCCAGUAUUUUCAGAAAUGGAAGAAUAACAGUAAGAUCUUAGGGGCACCUUUUGGGGACGAAACUGUAGAAAGAAUAUGAAUGGUGCUGAAAAUCGAAAGGAACUCACUGAAGGCAACCUAGGACCUUAAACAGUUCUCCAGGGCUUCAACCUACUGCUAGGCCCAAGUAAUGGGUUGGGCUUUUAAUGCUUUAUUCCUAAUUUUUAUGUAGAAAUGUAGUGUAUUACCCUCCAGUCACUCCUCCACUGCCCUCACAGGUGGAUUCCUGUUCCAAUGACACGAUGAGUUCUGUAUGGCAGUGUUACCUGGGACGCACCUGUGCCCUUGAAGAGCUUUUCAAUCAGAGGCAGUAUUCCUCUCCCACUGAAGGCUUCUCCGUUAUCAAUUAGGGCUUCUUUCACAAUGUCGUAGCCAUACAGCACCACAAUCUUUUUGGGGCCUAAAUGUAUUGUGAAGAUAGGACCGUACUUUUUGCUGAGCUGCAGGAAGGAAGAACACAAGGAACAACACAUCUGGAUGUUAAUCAUGGAAAAAUUAAGUUUGCAGGUCUUUGCCUGGUGAAUAAGACCCCUACGCAAAUUUUCUGGGAACCAUUUCAUUUCUUAGCUCUUUCCCAUCCAUCUACCACCAUUCCAUCACAGUCCCCUCAGGAACCGGCUCCAAAGCCAAACUUACUCCACCUAUUCUCUCCCAGGCACUGCAAUACAGGUUCUGUUGAACAGAUGCAUGACAGUUCCCUCCGGGGGAGGGAACAGACAGCACCAUUCAUCUUCAACUCCUUUGAUUCAUCCCUUAUACUCGUGACAACCCCUCCCUGGAGAUUAUACCUACCUGGCAGGGAGCAGAGACAACAAAGCAUAGCAAGGUCCUCCCUAAAACAGUGCUCGGCGUUGUUGCCAGAGCACUGAGGGGAUGGGUACAGAAGGGAUGUGGUGAAUAUGGCAAAAGCAUCAAUACCUUGUCUAGAAAUCUGUUGUAUACUGCAGUACUGUCGUGAGGCCAGUGCAGGUCUCAACAUAGGUAUGGUAAUUCCAGUAGGCAGCGUAAUACAUCAAAAGCAAACAUUUACACAGAAGCUGUGAAUUAAGCUGAGACUGUCUGGACUGGGCUUUGUUCUACAGGCCAGGGAGACAACACAGAAAUGAAAGAGGCAGCCUUACCUCCUUAAAGCUUCCCAUCAAGUCCCACGGGUUCAGCUGAAAAACAUUUCCAAUGAUGGGGAUUGGCGUGGGACCAGGAGGCUCCUUCCCUCUUUGCGAUGUACUCUUCCAUGCAGCAAUGAGAAGGCAUGAGAUACAGACCAGCAAGAGGAUUGUGGGCAAUCCCAGGAACUCCAUGGUGGGCAGAGGAAGAGAUGUCAAGUGUCAGAAGAGUCUGAACUGGGACCUGCAAACCUGAGGAUGACUCCUGCCAGCCCCUCCAACAGGUGCGCGCAGUGGAGGGAGCUGUGGAUGCGAAAAGGGACCCAGGUCAGAGAGUAUACUGCGAGAAAGACAUCCGGCCUUCAUCAGAGAAGACCACCGGACGACCACUGAGAGAUACCACGCGUGUGUAAAGGAACUAAGUCACGGGGUGGGGCAAAACGUUAGUCAUUCUGGGGACUCGGCCCAACCUUUUCUUAAACAUCUAAUGCAUAUGUAAGCAGCUUGUUCUUUAAGUAUGUACAUUUCUUGCCAUCUGGUAUACAGGUUUGGAGGGAAUAUCGCCCCCUUCAUCCAGCAUGAGUGCUCAGCACUGAGUAAAAACACCUGCUUUAUGACUAUUCUGUGCUUAUAGUUUGAUGCCAUGUUUCACUGCCAACCAACAGCCAGCACUGGCUAAGCAGCGGCUGCCCCCUGGACAACUUCCCACAGCUUUAUGGCCAUCUGCAUGGUGUCAGAAAAUGCUAAAACAGCAACUGGCAUCAUUUAUACAGGGAAAGGGACACAGUUCUUCACAGAUCGUGAGCUGCAGAACACCAUUAGCCAGGAUGUAGCUGUUAAGUUUAUAUGCGUUCAAAAGUAAUCAAGCAAAGUCAUGGCAGAAAAAUCCAUUCAGGGUAUUCAAAAAUGCCCAGGACUCUCUGGAUGCUGGAGAGCAAUCAAAAAACAAUUCCUCCGUGGUUGCAUUGCUGCUAUUCUUGGGACCUCGUUUUCAGCCAGUGUUAGACGGGAUCCCUAUCUGACUUGACUGUUGUUGUGAUGUUGUGCAUCCAUCCUUAGGCUCCUGUGUCCUUACAUUGAGAUGUAUUACUUCACUGAAUGUUCUUAUUUCACAGAUUAGCCCGUAGGAAGCAUCACGUCUAUUCUGCUGUGAAUUACAUCUCUGCUGCUAAAAUCUUAUCGAUUUCAGGUAGGAUUCUUUUUAGCCCCUUGCAGAAAAUCACAGUGUCAACUCCUGCCUUACAAGACAGAGGCUUUGCCAUCACCAGCAGUAUUAAGGUUAAAUGUUAACUUCAUAAUUCAAUAACUUAUAAAACAUGCCUACUUGUGACCUGCUGCAAUGGCAGGACUCGAGAUAAGUAACAAACCUUGUCAUUAUUUUUCAGGUGAUUCAGGUGAUUGCAGAAAUGCCAUUUAACCAGCCAGCACAAAAGGUUUGGUUAAAUAUUUGUGUCUGAACUCCCAGGACCCAAAACACAACUCAGUUGACUCAGGACCAGGCCACUGACAUAACUGCUCUCCAGUCAUUUAGGGCGUACGACAGAUUGCUAUGUAUUGGCUCGGUCUCUGAAAGGGCAAGGAAGUUCAGGCCUUAUCACCUGUUGUGCGAUCUGUACGGUGACCUCAGCAGUAAAGCACUCUGUUGUUCCUGUUGCUGAUCAUCUUUGAAGAGAGCUUAGCUUUAAAUGAUAGUCAGGAUUAAAUGAGAAGAGGCCCUUCCCCAAGCCAGGCAGCGAAAGUCAGGAAUUGGGACAGUAAGUUGACAAGUGCAUGUGCUUUGCAAACAGCGCACAUCACAAAGACAGUUGUCAAUGGGCAAAUUCACCAACUGACAAUAUUAAAUCUCAGAAAAGUUCAGCAAUCGUUGAGUAGCAAAACCUUUGGCUACACUUUCAGAUCUCUGUUAACUACUACAAUACAGAAAAUAGAUGAAAUAUCAUAGAAUCGGUCAGGUUGGAAAAGACCUUAAAGAUCAUCGAGUGCAACCACGACCUAACCAUGCUACCUAACUCUAACAACCCUCCGCUAAAUCGUGUCCCUGAUCACCACAUCCAAUGCGACCUGCUAAAUGACUUACUCGGCCUUAUGGUUGACCUGAAUGAGGAGGUGGAGAGGCUGAGGAGCGUAAGGGAAUGUGAGAGGGAGAUUGCUUGGUGAUGCCAAACGCUAUCGGCCCCGAGAUCUUGGCAGUCAGCUGAGGCUCCACAUGGAGCGCGUCACCCCCUGCCGCCUUGCAAACAGGUGACAGAGGGGACCCAGCAGGCAGAUAGUGUUCCUGCUGCCGUGAACCCCCUGUCCUCUCCUCCCCCUAGGAACAGUGGUGAAGAAUCGAGGGAUGUGGUGCAGUGGCAAAAGUCCCCUGCUUGGCAAUGCAGGCGUGCCCUCCCAGAGAUCUCCCUGCCUCCCCAGCUGCCCCUGCGGAACAGGUGGGCAGCGAUGAUACAGGAAGAACUUCCCUGAAGACUGUGAAAAAGGACUCCAGAGCCUUGGGGUGACAGGGAUUGGCCGGCUGUCACAGCCCGAUAGUUCGUGACCUGCAUUCCACGAGGAACAAGAACUUGCAUGAACUCACUGGAUUAGGAGGUGGACAAACAAAGAUCUUCUGGCGGGACACCAGCAGCACUGGUUGGGAAGUGCAAAGUACAUUGCAACCUCAGGCUACAGCUUUUAAGGAAGAACUGCGAUUGCUUAUUUCAUCCAAGUGUGCUUGACGGCAUCUGCCAAUUAAGUGAUGGUGAAGAAAAGAAGUAUCACCGCCCUUUUUUUACAGCAUGAAGUGUUUUUCUAAGUCUGCAUCAAGUUUCCCCAAGCCCUUAGACUCAAUACCUUAACUAGAUUCAUCCUUAUGCCAUUAUGACUCAUGCCAUAAUUGACCCACCUACGCUGUACUGCUGGAAGUUUCUACUGAUACGUACAGGAAUUUUUCAGCUACUGGUGCCCUGGAUGUUUAGUCUUCAUCUAAUUCAAUGCUCCCCCUACCCGUCCGUAGUGCUGCCAUCUUACGUCAAACAGCUUUUUCCCUUCUAUCGUGCCGCAAGCAGCCAGAAGCGUACUCCAUCCGCAGUCACAGAUGUCAUGGUUUUGGCUGGGACAGAGUUAAUUUUAUUUGUAGAGGCCUCUAAGAUGCAGUACUUUGGAUUUUUGAUAGAAAUGCUGGUAAUAGCGCAUGGAUGCUUUUGUUGUUGCUGAGCAUUGCUUACACGGAAUACGUUGCUAUGCAGCGAGGGAGGCCUUUAAUUCACCUGGUGACAGAGCUGAGAGGAAGGAAGUGGAAUAACUGUAGCUCCAGCAGAAGCUAAUGCCAGUAUCGCCAUACCAUUCAGUCUCCUUGACAGGACCUGGACUCCUCUCUAUUCCUCUUUUCAUCUCAAACUCAUUGACCAUCUCCUCCCAUCUGUCUCGCUUGGAGAAAUAAACAGCAUCCCGUUCUAGCAGAUGGACCUGGGGGAGAUCAGGAAGGUCCGACACAUCAGCAGCGCACUGCUGGAGAUCAGGGUCAGACUCUGCAACCACGCUGUACGUGUGGCUGCAGAGUCCUCGUCUGAGGCAUCGCUCCUGAAGUAGACAGUCGUAGUCCUCUGUGUCAGUGCUAUCGGAGACUGCUGCAAGCGUGAUGGCCUCUGAUCUCCUUGGGAGAAAGGAGAGAAAAAGUGAUACCCGCAUCCUGCCGCUGGGGUGACCUGGCUGGCCCUGCGCCUUCAGAAAGGAACAUCUCUUCUGGACAUGUUCACGUACUGGCUAAGUUGGGUUUGUCCAGCGAAAAGUAGUAUCUUCCCACUCUGCAGAAACUGGUGAGUCUGCAGGUGAAGGAGGCAGGCGCCUGUUUUUCUACUUCUGCACAUUAUUUGUACAUAGACUGAAAAGAAACAAUAUAAACUUAUUAGGAAGCAGAGGGCAUAUCUCCAUGCCUGGGGGAAUUUGGUGAAGGCAAAUGCAGCAAAAGGUAUGGUUCUAAAACAACGCCUCUGGCAGUAAAAUAUUAGUAAACUAUUAACAUUAUUAUAUUGUUGGUGCAUGAACAACUGCCCUUCUGCUUUUCCUCCUCCCACCAGGAAUUUUGAACAAAUUUUGGGCACGUUACCUCAGAAUCCUUCAUCCAAGCGUUUGUUUAUGCUGAAUUUAUCCUGGGCUCAUUCAGUCAGGAAAAGAGGAGGCUCAGGAGAGACCGUAUCCCUCUCUACAGCUACCUGAAAGGAGGUUGUAGCGAGGUGGAGGUCAGCCCCUUCUCCCAGGUAAACAGCGACAGGAUGAGAGGUAAUGGCCUGAAGUUGCUCCAGGGAGGGGAGGUUCACGUUGGAUAUCAGGAAAAAAGUCUUCUCAGAAAGAAAGAAUGCAUUGGAACAGGCUGCCAGGGGAGAUAGCGAUGUCACCGUCCCCGAAGGUGUUCAGAAACAUGCAGAUGUGGCACUGAGGGAUGUGGUUCUGUGGGCAUGGUGGUGGUGGGCUGAUGGACUAGAUGAUCUUAUAGGUCUUUUCCAACCGUAAUGAUUCUAUGAUUUUAUGAUUCUACAAUGUACGCGUAGGCUCUAGAGAUGUGCAGGUUGGUCAGCACAGACCUCCCCCCACCUUGGGCCCGCUCCACGAAGAUCUAUACCAAAGCAUGUGGAAGUAAAGCUCAACACUUGCCGCUCUCCUCCUCUAACGCUGAACUUUGUGAGACAGCACAGCAGUGUCCGAGGGACCGUAAGCCUGCUCUACUCCAAGCAGUCAGCCAAGCAGUCGACGUGGUAAUGCGUGGCUCUGUGCUGGCCCAUUUAUCCUUCUUUCAUUGCAUGUGGUGUAGAAGACUUUUGGGUCUUGAUUAGACGCAAAGGACUGCUCUGGAUGGUUCUAACACAGCCUACCCAGUUCUUGCUGAAGUACAGGAGGAUAUUUGCAUGAAACUGUCUCCCCUUUACUCCUAGUCUCCUUUUCCCAUAUACAUUAGAUCUUUAGCAACACAACUAUUCCAGCUCAAACAUCACUCUUGGAUGUUCUCAAGCCUGUGAACCUUCCCUUGGGUAGAAGCAGCCCUUGUGGAUAUUACUAAUUACUCAUCAGUGAAACUGAACAUCCAGUUACAAGGUUGUGUAUAAAAAGAAGGAAAAUAAAAUAAAGUGAAAUAAAGUUUCAAGUGAAUAUUA
Molecule: long non-coding RNA, 7590 nt
Organism: Gallus gallus (chicken)
Lineage: Eukaryota; Metazoa; Chordata; Aves; Galliformes; Phasianidae
Exons: 9
Source: RefSeq, a predicted model, not a curated record